UGUGAAGUGCCUGAUUAAAGGAUAAUUUUGAUGAAAUUAAAUAAGUGCCCCCCCUACACCUUUGCAA
This 67-nucleotide transfer RNA is filed under the name Phratora vulgatissima. RNAcentral's name for it is "tRNA-Ile". Lineage: Eukaryota; Metazoa; Arthropoda; Insecta; Coleoptera; Chrysomelidae. The record is from RNAcentral.